UACGGAGGUGGCAAGCGUUAUCCGGAAUUAUUGGGCGUAAAGCGCGCGUAGGCGGUCUUUUAAGUCUGAUGGGAAAGCCCACGGCUCACCCGUGGAAUGGCAUUGGCAACUGGGUCACUUGAGUGCAGAAGAGGGAAGUGGAAUUCCAUGUGUAGCGGUGAAAUGCGUAGAUAUAUGGAGGAACACCAGUGGCGAAGGCGACUUACUGGUCUGUGAUUGACGCUGAGGCUCGAAAGCGUGGGUAGCGAACAGG
Molecule: ribosomal RNA, 253 nt
Filed under: uncultured bacterium
Lineage: Bacteria
Description: partial 16S ribosomal RNA
Rfam family: Bacterial small subunit ribosomal RNA
Source: RNAcentral